Molecule: ribosomal RNA, 535 nt
Filed under: uncultured eukaryote
Lineage: Eukaryota
Description: bacterial SSU rRNA
Rfam family: Eukaryotic small subunit ribosomal RNA
Source: RNAcentral
GUCUGGUGCCAGCAGCCGCGGUAAUUCCAGCUCCAAUAGCGUACGUUAAAGUUGCUGCAGUUAAAAAGCUCGUAGUUGAACGUUCGGGUUCCGCGGGACGGGGCCGCCCCGCGAGGGACGGCGCCGCCCCGGGGCUCGUGAUAUCUCAUCUCGCCGCCCGUCGCGAGGCGGACGGAGGGAUGGAUGAGGUUACCUGGAAAAAAUCGGGGCGAUCUAGGCGGGCGAACCUCGCCAACGAACGAUCGGACAUGGGAUAACGGAAGAGGGCGUCGGCUCGACUUCGUCGGUUCCUCGGGCCGAGGCACGUACGGUGAAUAGGGACGGUCGGGGCCGCCCGUACCGGGUCGUGAGAGGUGAAAUUCUAGGAUCGACCCGAGACGAACCGCCGCGAAAGCAUUCGGCAAGGACGCUUUUCAUUAAUCAAGAACGAAAGUCGGGGAUCGAAGACGAUCAGAUACCGUCGUAGUCCCGACCGUAAACGAUGCCGACCGAGGGCCCGGAGGAGUUACGUACGACCCUCCGGGCCCUCCCGCGA